UGGGGGUGAUUUGGGGAUAGUGGCUGGCUGAAACUCGAUCAAGUAAGUUAGUUCUACAUCACAAUGAUCAAGAUUACAUAUGCAGUAGCAUUGCUCAGAGCUGUCUUAAGUGGAUAUUAGUUCUUUCUAAAUCUCUGGGAUGUAUAACUAAACUAACGUAAUAUGAAUUUUUGAUAUUAAGGAGACAAGACAAUAAAGAAACAUGACUUUAAUUGAGCGUUUUUAAGAGUCAAAAUCUAUUACUGUGACGUAGGGAGUAACAGCUAACUUGAAAGGGUGAAAGCAGAAAAGUCAUCUCUGAUUUUCUUUGGAAGAUGUAUUUUUGAAGAAGGUAUCCAUGAGGAGGAGCAACUGAUAAAAAAAUGUGCUGCAAGAUCAAUAUUUAGAUAAAUCAUCAAAAAACUAUAGUCUUAAAUGCCUCACUUUUAACUUGUUAAACCCUUAUUUAAGAAAUCGUACCUACUUAGCAUUAUAGAAAUUCUCACUUCAAUGCAGGAAAAAAACUCGUAGGAAGUGUCAUCAGGGUUGAAUUAAUAAGGAAUCUAGGCCAUUUUCAGCAAUAACACUCCUUUAUAAUUUUUCUGUGUUAUUUUUUCUCUAUUUUGCUUGUGAAUGGAUCAUGAAUAUAUAGUGAAUCAAAAAAGUGUAAAAUUGAAAAGUUCUUUGAUAGCUAUUACUGUGAGUAUAGAGUUGGAGAAGUCUCCCUAGAAUUAGGUUUCCUUAUCCUAAAUUUUUUUGCCCCCAUUAAAAACACAGCAUAUGAUUGGUAGCUAGUGUGAUGUAAUUCAUGAACUAACUAGGUCAAGAUCUUGAAGUUCAAACGUAUCUUACCCUCUUCAAUCAUUGUAUAAUGCAAUCAACCGUUUUUCUACUUGUUAAGCAUAAUUUGUUGAACACAUACGUAUCUCUCUCCGUAUAUAUGUGGGUGCACUUGUAGAUGAUUUAUGUUUUCCUUUUUCUGAACUAAUAUAUCACCGUUAACUGUGUGAUGGUCCUGCAGCUCUAGGACUAUAUUAGAAAAAUACCUGAAGCACACAGUCAGCAUAGCUGAGGAUCACAAGACUGCAGACAAGUUGUCUAUGGCAAAACGAAGCCAAAUGCAUUUCCAUCUUGCUCAUUAUGUAGAUGAUCUAUUUCGUAGUUCUGAAGAGAGACUUAACUCGAAUGAAUGGCAAGUAACAAAUCCCUGUGACGGAAAUCGUUUCUUGGUCUUUAUAAUUAUGCUUGUUCCUCCUUUAACUAUUGAAUAUUUGGCAUGACUGGAACAUUAAACAUUUGUACUUUUCUUUUCACACAUGGGUUGAUGAGGUUAUUCCUGAUGUGCCGGUGGUGAUAAAUCAAGAGUUCAUUCUCAAGCACCAAAUAAGAUUAUUUUAAGAUGCUAAAAAGAUCAUGAGGGCUAUCCUGCUCAUUUCUUCCUUUAUCUGUUUGGUUUAAAAUUUAUAAUGUUCCUUCACUUCUAUUUAAACUGAAAUUGGUUACUGUCGUUUGUGUUUUGUCCAGCCUUCAACUUAUUUCAAUAGAUAACUAAAUCUCUAUUGUAUUUUCUGAAUUUAGAUUCAUACUCAAUCAGAGUUUUCUUAGGACGAGCUUCUCUUUAUGGCGAUCAUGAAGGUUGAAUUUACCCAUUGCAUUCAAAGAUAGAUGCAAGCCAAUGAGAAAGUAACGGGAAGGAUUUUUGAGAGCUAGCCAAUCCAACGGUUUGAAGACAGCAAGUUGUAAAUUAUCUUCUUUUAUACAAUAAUUUUCUGUUGUUUAAGAGGAGUGUAAGAUAAUAUUUAUUUGAUGGGCAAUAUGUAAAUCAAAAUUUUUCUUUGAUUCAUUACAAUGAUGUGUUUUGUCUAUUUGUAUGGAUUAAUAAAAUUAUAUCAAU
This 1873-nucleotide long non-coding RNA is filed under the name Olea europaea subsp. europaea. The record is from RNAcentral. Lineage: Eukaryota; Viridiplantae; Streptophyta; Magnoliopsida; Lamiales; Oleaceae.